Molecule: ribosomal RNA, 253 nt
Filed under: uncultured bacterium
Lineage: Bacteria
Description: partial 16S ribosomal RNA
Rfam family: Bacterial small subunit ribosomal RNA
Source: RNAcentral
GACGAACCGAGCGAACGUUGUUCGGAAUCACUGGGCUUAAAGGGCGCGUAGGCGGGUGCUCAAGUCCGGGGUGAAAUCCUCCAGCUCAACUGGAGAACUGCCUCGGAUACUGGGUGUCUCGAGUGUGGUAGGGGUAUGCGGAACUAUCGGUGGAGCGGUGAAAUGCGUUGAUAUCGAGAGGAACUCCGGUGGCGAAGGCGGCAUACUGGACCACUACUGACGCUGAUGCGCGAAAGCCAGGGGAGCAAACGGG